UGGGGAAUUUUGGACAAUGGGGGAAACCCUGAUCCAGCCAUCCCGCGUGUGCGAUGAAGGCCUUCGGGUUGUAAAGCACUUUUGGCAGGAAAGAAACGUCGCGGGUUAAUACCCCGCGGAACUGACGGUACCUGCAGAAUAAGCACCGGCUAACUACGUGCCAGCAGCCGCGGUAAUACGUAGGGUGCAAGCGUUAAUCGGAAUUACUGGGCGUAAAGCGUGCGCAGGCGGUUCGGAAAGAAAGAUGUGAAAUCCCAGAGCUUAACUUUGGAACUGCAUUUUUAACUACCGGGCUAGAGUGUGUCAGAGGGAGGUGGAAUUCCGCGUGUAGCAGUGAAAUGCGUAGAUAUGCGGAGGAACACCGAUGGCGAAGGCAGCCUCCUGGGAUAACACUGACGCUCAUGCACGAAAGCGUGGGGAGCAAACAGGAUUAGAUACCCUGGUAGUCCACGCCCUAAACGAUGUCAACUAGCUGUUGGGGCCUUCGGGCCUUGGUAGCGCAGCUAACGCGUGAAGUUGACCGCCUGGGGAGUACGGUCGCAAGAUU
This 547-nucleotide ribosomal RNA is filed under the name uncultured bacterium. Its description in RNAcentral is "partial 16S ribosomal RNA". It matches the Rfam family "Bacterial small subunit ribosomal RNA", at positions 355 to 895 of the family's 1533-position model. The record is from RNAcentral.